This 420-nucleotide ribosomal RNA is filed under the name uncultured bacterium. RNAcentral's name for it is "bacterial SSU rRNA". It matches the Rfam family "Bacterial small subunit ribosomal RNA", at positions 358 to 795 of the family's 1533-position model. The record is from RNAcentral.
GGAAUUUUCCGCAAUGGGGGAAACCCUGACGCAGCGACGCCGCGUGGAGGAUGAAGGUUUUCGGAUUGUAAACUCCUUUUGUAGGGGAAAAUAGUGAUGGUACCCUACGAAUAAGCCACGGCUAACUCUGUGCCAGCAGCCGCGGUAAGACAGAGGUGGCAAGCGUUGUUCGGAAUUACUGGGCUUAAAGGGCGCGUAGGUGUCCUGGCAAGUCAGAUGUGGAAGCUUCUUGCUUAACGGGAAAAUGGCAUUUGAAACUGCCGGGAUUGAGUCAGACAGGGGAUGGCGGAAUUCCUGGUGUAGCGGUGAAAUGCGUAGAUAUCAGGAGGAAGGCCGGUGGCGAAGGCGGCCAUCUGGGUCUGAACUGACACUGAGGCGCGAAAGCGUGGGGAGCAAACAGGAUUAGAUACCCCUGUAGUC